RNAcentral lists this ribosomal RNA (385 nucleotides) under Eukaryota sp. Its description in RNAcentral is "partial small subunit ribosomal RNA". It matches the Rfam family "Eukaryotic small subunit ribosomal RNA", at positions 582 to 975 of the family's 1831-position model. The record is from RNAcentral.
AUUCCAGCUCCAAUAGCGUAUAUUUAAGUUGCUGCAGUUAAAAAGCUCGUAGUUGGAUUUCGGGUGGGAAUGGCCGGUCCGCCGUUUCGGUGUGCACUUGCUAGUCCCACCUUGCUGCCGGGGACGUGCUCUUGGGUUUCGGCUCGGGACACGGAGUCGGCGAGGUUACUUUGAGUAAAUUAGAGUGUUCAAAGCAGGCUUAUGCCGUGAAUACAUUAGCAUGGAAUAAUAAGAUAGGACUUUGGUUCUAUUUUGUUGGUUGGAGGCCAAGGUAAUGAUUAAUAGGGAUAGUUGGGGGUAUUCAUAUUUAAUUGUCAGAGGUGAAAUUCUUGGAUUUAUGAAAGAUGAACUUAUGCGAAAGCAUUUACCAAGGAUGUUUUCAUUG